Argiope bruennichi is the source of this 498-nucleotide long non-coding RNA. RefSeq lists it as uncharacterized. The record is from RefSeq and is a predicted model, not a curated record. NCBI's taxonomy places the organism in Eukaryota, Metazoa, Arthropoda, Arachnida, Araneae, Araneidae. The transcript has 3 exons.
UCUAAGAUAUUGUUACUAACUACUUUCAAAUAUUUCUCUUCAUGAAUCAUAAAUAUAUUUUAUUUGUGAUAUGUGAUUUGAUAUCAGAAUUUAAUUUAUAUGAAUUUUAAAUCGUACUUCUUCUGUUAGCUCACCAUAUCUGUCUCCUGUUUUCAUAAUCGAUAUUUUGUAGUGAGACAAUUUUCCUUUCAAUGGUUUAUUUGAGAUGGAAGUUAUGCAACGGUUAUUUUCUUACAGUGUGUUCUGUCAGAUUAAAUGCUCUUUUAAAGAAGUGGUUGUGACUCUCUGACACAUGGAAGAGGAUAAAUUGAUUUGCCCAUGAUUCCUUACAUCAUGAUCUACUGAUUGUUUUCACUGAAUGGGAUACUCCUACUAUACUAUGAGAUACUCCUACCAUUAUUAAGGAAGAGGAUAAACUCGACAUACCUAUCAUUCCUUAUAUCAUGAUGACUGAUUGUUUUCACUGAAUGUCAUGAGAUACUCCUACUGUUAUUAAGG